Long non-coding RNA from Oreochromis niloticus (Nile tilapia), 815 nucleotides. RefSeq lists it as uncharacterized. The transcript has 5 exons. The record is from RefSeq and is a predicted model, not a curated record. NCBI's taxonomy places the organism in Eukaryota, Metazoa, Chordata, Actinopteri, Cichliformes, Cichlidae.
UUCACAUUUCAGUGCUUGUAUAGUGUUAUGUGAAAGUAUUAAUAUCUGAAAUGUGUGACUUCCUCAAAGGAAACUGACACCAGCAGUGUUCAAACAGUUCAUAUGUCCUGUGCUGCAGAGCUGAGCUCUAAGUAAUAAUCUGCAUCUGAACCAUGGAGGAAAUUUAUGCCAAUGUUGAAUACCCCAAACAUAACAAUUCAAAACCUUCACCAGGUCACACAGGAACAAGCGGCCGUGAAAGGAGUUUCCAUUUAGGAAUUAUUAUCUGUCUGGGAAUGCUGAGUGUUUUCCUGCUGAUUGGACUCAUCACCCUUGGUGUUUACUAGAAAGUGUGUCCUGAAGGAUGGAGAAUGUUCUGUCAUAGCUGUUACGUAUUAUCUGAAAAGCUUGGUUCCUGGGAUGAAGGUAGAGAUGACUGCAGAAGCAAAGGAGCAGAUCUGGUGGUGAUAGAAAGCCUUGAAGACAAGACAUUUAUAUCUAGUUACAUUAAGGAACGUGCUUGGAUUGGUUUGAAUGACAAAGAAGAGGAAGGAAAUUGGAAAUGGGUCGAUGGAACUCCACUGACUCUACAGAACUGGGUGGCAAAACAACCGGAUAACGGUGAUGGAAACCCAAAGUGGGGUGAAGAGGACUGCGUUCAUGUAGAGCCUGAUGCAUCAUGGAAUGAUCUCUCAUGUUCAGCCUCUCUAAAGUGGAUCUGUGAAAAACAUACAACAGAAUAAUUCAUUGACCACUGUCUGACAUGCAUUUACUAAUUUAGCUGUGACUUUUAUUCUAUCCUAUCAGUCAUUUUCACUCCAUUUUAACUUUUUUUU